Molecule: ribosomal RNA, 416 nt
Filed under: uncultured Oscillospiraceae bacterium
Lineage: Bacteria; Bacillati; Bacillota; Clostridia; Eubacteriales; Oscillospiraceae
Description: bacterial SSU rRNA
Rfam family: Bacterial small subunit ribosomal RNA
Source: RNAcentral
UGAGGAAUAUUGGGGCAAUGGGCGGAAGCCUGACCCAGCAACGCCGCGUGAAGGAAGACGGUUUUCGGAUUGUAAACUUCUUUUAAGAGGGACGAUAAUGACGGUACCUCUUGAAUAAGCCACGGCUAACUACGUGCCAGCAGCCGCGGUAAUACGUAGGUGGCAAGCGUUAUCCGGAUUUACUGGGUGUAAAGGGCGCGUAGGCGGGGAUACAAGUCAGAUGUGAAAUCUAUGGGCUUAACCCAUAAACUGCAUUUGAAACUGUAUCUCUUGAGUGUCGGAGAGGUAGACGGAAUUCCUAGUGUAGCGGUGAAAUGCGUAGAUAUUAGGAGGAACACCAGUGGCGAAGGCGGUCUACUGGACGAUAACUGACACUGAGGCGCGAAAGCGUGGGGAGCAAACAGGAUUAGAUACCU